This 253-nucleotide ribosomal RNA is filed under the name uncultured bacterium. Its description in RNAcentral is "partial 16S ribosomal RNA". It matches the Rfam family "Bacterial small subunit ribosomal RNA", at positions 524 to 776 of the family's 1533-position model. The record is from RNAcentral.
GACGGAGGGUGCAAACGUUGUUCGGAAUCACUGGGCAUAAAGAGCACGUAGGCUGCGCGCUAAGUCAGGUGUGAAAUCCCCCGGCUCAACCGGGGAACUGCACCUGAUACUGGCGUGCUCGAGGACGGUAGGGGUGAGUGGAACUCCAGGUGGAGCGGUGAAAUGCGUAGAUAUCAGGAAGAACACCCGUGGCUAAGGCGGCUCUCUAGUACGGUACUGACGCUGAGACGCGAAAGCGUGGGGAGCGAACAGG